CUGGGAGGACCAUCUCCUAAGGCUAAAUACUCUCUAGUGACCGAUAGUGAACCAGUACCGUGAGGGAAAGGUGAAAAGCACCCCGGAAGGGGAGUGAAAUAGAACCUGAAACCGUGUGCUUACAAGUAGUCAGAGCCCGUUAAUGGGUGAUGGCGUGCCUUUUGUAGAAUGAACCGGCGAGUUACGAUUUGAUGCAAGGUUAAGCAGUAAAUGUGGAGCCGUAGCGAAAGCGAGUCUGAAUAGGGCGUUUAGUAUUUGGUCGUAGACCCGAAACCAGGUGAUCUACCCUUGGUCAGGUUGAAGUUCAGGUAACACUGAAUGGAGGACCGAACCGACUUACGUUGAAAAGUGAGCGGAUGAACUGAGGGUAGCGGAGAAAUUCCAAUCGAACCUGGAGAUAGCUGGUUCUCUCCGAAAUAGCUUUAGGGCUAGCCUCAAGUGAUGAUUAUUGGAGGUAGAGCACUGUUUGGACGAGGGGCCCCUCUCGGGUUACCGAAUUCAGACAAACUCCGAAUGCCAAUUAAUUUAACUUGGGAGUCAGAACAUGGGUGAUAAGGUCCGUGUUCGAAAGGGAAACAGCCCAGACCACCAGCUAAGGUCCCAAAAUAUAUGUUAAGUGGAAAAGGAUGUGGCGUUGCCCAGACAACUAGGAUGUUG
RNAcentral lists this ribosomal RNA (657 nucleotides) under Staphylococcus aureus. RNAcentral describes it as "partial 23S ribosomal RNA". It matches the Rfam family "Bacterial large subunit ribosomal RNA", at positions 444 to 1103 of the family's 2925-position model. The record is from RNAcentral. Lineage: Bacteria; Bacillati; Bacillota; Bacilli; Caryophanales; Staphylococcaceae.